Molecule: long non-coding RNA, 280 nt
Filed under: Physcomitrium patens
Lineage: Eukaryota; Viridiplantae; Streptophyta; Bryopsida; Funariales; Funariaceae
Description: long non-coding RNA (PPAT_LNC013374)
Source: RNAcentral
UCUUGAUGAAAUGAGGUACUAUUACAAAUAUAGAGUCAUAAGAAAUUGAGACUAGAAGAUCCUUGAUAAAAUCCAUAAAAAAAAAGAUUAUGAUUGUUUUAGAAUGGAUAAUAGUUUGAAAAAUUCAUAGAAUCAAUGAUGAGGAGUUUUUGACUUUGAACAAAUGUCACAUAAUUGGACAAAAUAUUUCACUACCUUCUACAUUUGUAGCGACUAAAAAUCUCUAGAUAUAAGUUUUAAAGUCUUGUUGUAUCCAAAAUGUCUGACUAUUAGAAAGUCA